This 1331-nucleotide ribosomal RNA is filed under the name Burkholderia sp. T7C. RNAcentral describes it as "bacterial SSU rRNA". It matches the Rfam family "Bacterial small subunit ribosomal RNA", at positions 26 to 1347 of the family's 1533-position model. The record is from RNAcentral. Lineage: Bacteria; Pseudomonadati; Pseudomonadota; Betaproteobacteria; Burkholderiales; Burkholderiaceae.
GGGUAGUCACUACGAGUCACGUUACAGCAUGCAGUCGACGGCAGCACGGGUGCUUGCACCUGGUGGCGAGUGGCGAACGGGUGAGUAAUACAUCGGAACAUGUCCUGUAGUGGGGGAUAGCCCGGCGAAAGCCGGAUUAAUACCGCAUACGAUCUAUGGAUGAAAGCGGGGGACCUUCGGGCCUCGCGCUAUAGGGUUGGCCGAUGGCUGAUUAGCUAGUUGGUGGGGUAAAGGCCUACCAAGGCGACGAUCAGUAGCUGGUCUGAGAGGACGACCAGCCACACUGGGACUGAGACACGGCCCAGACUCCUACGGGAGGCAGCAGUGGGGAAUUUUGGACAAUGGGCGAAAGCCUGAUCCAGCAAUGCCGCGUGUGUGAAGAAGGCCUUCGGGUUGUAAAGCACUUUUGUCCGGAAAGAAAUCCUUGGCUCUAAUACAGUCGGGGGAUGACGGUACCGGAAGAAUAAGCACCGGCUAACUACGUGCCAGCAGCCGCGGUAAUACGUAGGGUGCAAGCGUUAAUCGGAAUUACUGGGCGUAAAGCGUGCGCAGGCGGUUUGCUAAGACCGAUGUGAAAUCCCCGGGCUCAACCUGGGAACUGCAUUGGUGACUGGCAGGCUAGAGUAUGGCAGAGGGGGGUAGAAUUCCACGUGUAGCAGUGAAAUGCGUAGAGAUGUGGAGGAAUACCGAUGGCGAAGGCAGCCCCCUGGGCCAAUACUGACGCUCAUGCACGAAAGCGUGGGGAGCAAACAGGAUUAGAUACCCUGGUAGUCCACGCCCUAAACGAUGUCAACUAGUUGUUGGGGAUUCAUUUCCUUAGUAACGUAGCUAACGCGUGAAGUUGACCGCCUGGGGAGUACGGUCGCAAGAUUAAAACUCAAAGGAAUUGACGGGGACCCGCACAAGCGGUGGAUGAUGUGGAUUAAUUCGAUGCAACGCGAAAAACCUUACCUACCCUUGACAUGGUCGGAAUCCUGAAGAGAUUCGGGAGUGCUCGAAAGAGAACCGGCGCACAGGUGCUGCAUGGCUGUCGUCAGCUCGUGUCGUGAGAUGUUGGGUUAAGUCCCGCAACGAGCGCAACCCUUGUCCUUAGUUGCUACGCAAGAGCACUCUAAGGAGACUGCCGGUGACAAACCGGAGGAAAGGUGGGGAUGACGUCAAGUCCUCAUGGGCCCUUAUGGGGUAGGGCUUCCCACCGCCAUUCAAUGGGUCGGAAACAGAAGGGUUCCCACCCCCCGAGGGGGAGCUAAUCCCCAAAAAACCGACUUUAUUCCCGGAUUGCACUCUUGCACCCCCAGGGGGUUAAAACUGGGAACCUCUUUUAUCCCCGG